GUCACGAGUCCAUAGAACUCAUUGGCCUACUCAUAAUAUUUUGGUGAAUUCUCCAUCCAAACAGAGUCUAAAAGACGGGUAAUUUCUGUCGUCAUCUGGAGUAAAUAAAGCAAAGUCCAAGUUUAGAUUGGGGAAACAAUCGAGUCUAUGAAUAGUAAGUAACUGGUUGAUGCCGAGAAUAUCCUAUGGGGAGAUUCCUUGUUCCCGAGUCCCGACUUGAUGACUCAUUCAAUUAUUAUCUCACACCAUUGGCCAUUUAGCUUUCGACAUUAUUCCU
Molecule: long non-coding RNA, 277 nt
Organism: Neltuma alba
Lineage: Eukaryota; Viridiplantae; Streptophyta; Magnoliopsida; Fabales; Fabaceae
Exons: 2
Source: RefSeq, a predicted model, not a curated record